ACUGCCACCAUGGAGAAGCAGCCGCUUCCAGCAGCUCUCAGCGUUCUGCAGGAGAACCAGCAGAUGAAGCUGGUGUUUAGUGACUGUUGUUUUCUGUCCUGAUGUCUUCCUGGCAGCUGCAAACCAAACUGCUCCUUGAAGAGAAGAAAGAAACUUUGAACCUUGAAGCUUCCAGGAACUCCACUGCUGCUCCUGCUGCUGCCCCGCCCUCCUACCUGUCCCACCUCCAUCACAGCUGAAGCUCCGCCUCCUUCCAGGUAGCAGCUCACCUGUGUCUCAGUGGUUCACAUCUUGUUCUUCAGCACUUUGGAGCGUCUGAACAAACUGUCCAAUAAAGCCCGGACUUCACUGUGGCUCCACUUCUCUGGCUCUGGCUCCAUUUUGGUAAAUGUGAAGGUAGAAAGUGUGUGUGAGCUGAUGUGGAUGUGAAUUC
This is a long non-coding RNA of Fundulus heteroclitus (mummichog), 433 nucleotides long. RefSeq lists it as uncharacterized. The transcript is spliced from 3 exons. The record is from RefSeq and is a predicted model, not a curated record. Lineage: Eukaryota; Metazoa; Chordata; Actinopteri; Cyprinodontiformes; Fundulidae.